This 34-nucleotide transfer RNA is filed under the name Viola adunca. RNAcentral describes it as "partial tRNA-Leu". Lineage: Eukaryota; Viridiplantae; Streptophyta; Magnoliopsida; Malpighiales; Violaceae. The record is from RNAcentral.
GACUUAAAAUCCGUCGACUUUUUAAAUCGUGAGG